RNAcentral lists this ribosomal RNA (370 nucleotides) under uncultured organism. Its description in RNAcentral is "partial 16S ribosomal RNA". It matches the Rfam family "Bacterial small subunit ribosomal RNA", at positions 527 to 896 of the family's 1533-position model. The record is from RNAcentral.
GUAGGGUGCAAGCGUUAAUCGGAAUUACUGGGCGUAAAGCGUGCGCAGGCGGGUUUGUAAGUCUGUCGUGAAAGCCCCGGGGCUCAACCUGGGAAUUGCGAUGGAGACUGCAAGGCUUGAAUCUGGCAGAGGGGGGUAGAAUUCCACGUGUAGCAGUGAAAUGCGUAGAGAUGUGGAGGAACACCGAUGGCGAAGGCAGCCCCCUGGGUCAAGAUUGACGCUCAUGCACGAAAGCGUGGGGAGCAAACAGGAUUAGAUACCCUGGUAGUCCACGCCCUAAACGAUGUCUACUAGUUGUCGGGUUUUAAUUAACUUGGUAACGCAGCUAACGCGUGAAGUAGACCGCCUGGGGAGUACGGUCGCAAGAUUA